AGGGAAUAUUGCGCAAUGGACGGAAGUCUGACGCAGCGACGCCGCGUGAGCGAUGAAGGCCUUCGGGUCGUAAAGCUCUGUCCUUGGGGAAGAAGGCGAAAGCUUGACGGUACCCAAGAAGAAAGCCCCGGCUAACUACGUGCCAGCAGCCGCGGUAAUACGUAGGGGGCGAGCGUUGUCCGGAAUUACUGGGCGUAAAGGGUGCGUAGGCGGCCCUUUAAGUCAGAUGUGAAAGCCCGCGGCUUAACCGCGGAACUGCAUUUGAAACUGGAGGGCUUGAGUGUCGGAGAGGGUAGUGGAAUUCCCAGUGUAGCGGUGAAAUGCGUAGAUAUUGGGAGGAACACCAGUGGCGAAGGCGACUACCUGGACGAUAACUGACGCUGAGGCACGAAAGCUAGGGGAGCAAAC
RNAcentral lists this ribosomal RNA (408 nucleotides) under uncultured bacterium. RNAcentral describes it as "bacterial SSU rRNA". It matches the Rfam family "Bacterial small subunit ribosomal RNA", at positions 356 to 773 of the family's 1533-position model. The record is from RNAcentral.